RNAcentral lists this long non-coding RNA (281 nucleotides) under Setaria italica (foxtail millet). RNAcentral's name for it is "long non-coding RNA (SITA_LNC002860)". The record is from RNAcentral. Lineage: Eukaryota; Viridiplantae; Streptophyta; Magnoliopsida; Poales; Poaceae.
UGGGCGCCAACGACUUCAUCAACAACUACCUCCUCCCGGUCUACUCCGACUCGUGGACCUACAACGGCGACACCUUCGUGAAGCACAUGGUGAGCACCCUGGAGGCCCAGCUGAGGCUCCUCUACGCGCUGGGCGCCCGGCGGCUCACCUUCUUCGGGCUGGGCCCCAUGGGUUGCAUCCCGCUGCAGCGCUACCUGACCUCCUCCGGCGGGUGCCAGGAGUCAACGAACAAGCUCGCCAAGAACUUCAACACGCAGGCGGGCGCGCUGGUGGCGCGGCUG